This 254-nucleotide ribosomal RNA is filed under the name uncultured bacterium. Its description in RNAcentral is "partial 16S ribosomal RNA". It matches the Rfam family "Bacterial small subunit ribosomal RNA", at positions 524 to 777 of the family's 1533-position model. The record is from RNAcentral.
UACAGAGGUCUCGAGCGUUAGGCGGAAUCACUGGGCUUAAAGCGUGUGUAGGUGGAUGCCUAAGUACCUUGUGAAAUCCCACAGCUUAACUGUGGAACUGCUUGGUAUACUGGGUGUCUUGAGUCACUCAGGGGCGAGCGGAACAAAUGGUGGAGCGGUGAAAUGCGUAGAUAUCAUUUGGAACGCCAAUGGUGAAAACAGCUCGCUGGGGGUGCACUGACACUGAGACACGAAAGCCAGGGGAGCGAACGGGG